GAUGAACGCUGGCGGCGUGCCUAAUACAUGCAAGUCGAGCGAACAGACGAGGAGCUUGCUCCUCUGACGUUAGCGGCGGACGGGUGAGUAACACGUGGAUAACCUACCUAUAAGACUGGGAUAACUUCGGGAAACCGGAGCUAAUACCGGAUAAUAUAUUGAACCGCAUGGUUCAAUAGUGAAAGACGGUUUUGCUGUCACUUAUAGAUGGAUCCGCGCCGCAUUAGCUAGUUGGUAAGGUAACGGCUUACCAAGGCGACGAUGCGUAGCCGACCUGAGAGGUGAUCGGCCACACUGGAACUGAGACACGGUCCAGACUCCUACGGGAGGCAGCAGUAGGGAAUCUUCCGCAAUGGGCGAAAGCCUGACGGAGCAACGCCGCGUGAGUGAUGAAGGUCUUCGGAUCGUAAAACUCUGUUAUUAGGGAAGAACAAAUGUGUAAGUAACUAUGCACGUCUUGACGGUACCUAAUCAGAAAGCCACGGCUAACUACGUG
Molecule: ribosomal RNA, 496 nt
Filed under: uncultured bacterium
Lineage: Bacteria
Description: partial 16S ribosomal RNA
Rfam family: Bacterial small subunit ribosomal RNA
Source: RNAcentral